This 980-nucleotide long non-coding RNA is filed under the name Sinocyclocheilus grahami. RNAcentral's name for it is "lncRNA (ENSSGRG00000040326.1)". The record is from RNAcentral. Lineage: Eukaryota; Metazoa; Chordata; Actinopteri; Cypriniformes; Cyprinidae.
CAGUCACGCACAUUAACUGAGAAGAGAUGUUUUUGUUUUAUCUGUUACUGACAUCUGUGUGUGUCGGUGGAGGGCUGGACUCUGGAAACAGUCCGGAGCACAAAAAUGAGAAGGUACAAGUCAGAAGAUCACAGAUCACACACUGAACCUGUAGGAUGGCUCCCGCGGUUUUACUCAUCGGCUGUCUGCUCACCACAAUCAGCUGCUUGACCACAGCUCAAACUACCACAUCAAUUAAUGCUGUUACUGCAUCACCUAAUGCAACUAACAACGCAACUAAUGUAUUGCCCAACGCAACUAGUGCAAAUUCCAUUUUGCCCAACGGGGCUAACACAUCACCUAGCACCACCAUGUUGCCCAGCGCAACCAACACGGCGCCCAACAUAGCCACCGCGGCGCCCAGCACAACCAAAACAGUGCCCAACACAGCCACCAUGGCGCCAAGCACAACCAACAUGGCGCCCAACGCAACCAACAUGGCGCCCAACACGGCGCCCAACACAGCCACCACGGCGCCAAGCGCAACCAACACGGUGCCCAACACAACCAACAUGGCGCCCAACACAACCAACACGGCGCCCAACACAGCCACCAUGUCAUCCAACGCAACCACCAUGGCGCCCAACACAACCAACAUGGCGCCCAACGCAACCAACAUGGCGCACAACGCAACCACCAUGGCGCCCAACGCAACCAACAUGGCGCCUAAUGCAACUACCACAUCACCUAAUGCGACUACAACGAAUGCAACAACUCCUCAGGCUCCAUUGUAUGGAAGUUGUGCGAGUCCAGAUCUGUGCUGCUCUGGAAGGAAUGACAGCUGUAACCGCUUGAAUUGUUUUUGUGAUGUUGCUUGUCUGAGAUUAAAAGACUGCUGCCCUGAUUUCAAACCCACCUGCCUCACAGGUAUUCAGAAAUAUUCAUACAAAACCCAUAUUUGAUUAAUCUGUGCUGAAAUCAGUCACUUACUGUGUGUUAAC